Non-coding RNA from Schistosoma margrebowiei, 46 nucleotides. NCBI's taxonomy places the organism in Eukaryota, Metazoa, Platyhelminthes, Trematoda, Strigeidida, Schistosomatidae. The record is from Rfam.
GCACUGCUAAGGUGUCCCACAACAGGACGAAACGGCCGUUCAGUGC